UGGGGAAUAUUGCACAAUGGGCGCAAGCCUGAUGCAGCCAUGCCGCGUGUGUGAAGAAGGCCUUCGGGUUGUAAAGCACUUUCAGCGAGGAGGAAGGGUUCAGUGUUAAUAGCACUGUGCAUUGACGUUACUCGCAGAAGAAGCACCGGCUAACUCCGUG
RNAcentral lists this ribosomal RNA (160 nucleotides) under uncultured Serratia sp. RNAcentral describes it as "partial 16S ribosomal RNA". It matches the Rfam family "Bacterial small subunit ribosomal RNA", at positions 355 to 507 of the family's 1533-position model. The record is from RNAcentral. Lineage: Bacteria; Pseudomonadati; Pseudomonadota; Gammaproteobacteria; Enterobacterales; Yersiniaceae.